Long non-coding RNA from Brassica napus (rape), 1674 nucleotides. RefSeq lists it as uncharacterized. The record is from RefSeq and is a predicted model, not a curated record. The transcript has 2 exons. Lineage: Eukaryota; Viridiplantae; Streptophyta; Magnoliopsida; Brassicales; Brassicaceae.
GGUCACAAAAUAUAAGUUGUACUUUUAGUUCACAUAUAAAAUAGUCUACUUAGGGACACAAAAAAUAUAGGACAAAAAUAUAUCGUUUUGAUCUUGAGAACAACCCAAAGUAAUUUAGGAUUUCACUUUCAAUCCUAUAUUCUUCAAUAAUCUUGGAACUUGGGUGGCAAGCACAAAAUCAAUGCCAUUCUCCAUCUCUUCCUCAUGUUGUGGCGAACCUACGUUAUGUGGGGAGGAGGCAGCUGCCCCCACAAAAAUCUAAAAAUAAAUAUAUUUCCAUUAGAAACUACAAGUUUUCUAUAGUAUAGUUGGUUCCAGUCAUCUGUUUGCCCCCUUAAGAUCACUGUUCUGACUUCCCUCCUGAGCUGUUUUUUCCCUUUUAUUUAUUUGUAUGCCCCCACAAUUUUUUUUCUCUAGAUUCGCCACCAAACCCAUCACCAUCUCCAACAAUGUCUUCAUUACCAUCAUCUUCUUCUUUUUUUUGUUCAACGACCAUCAUCUUCAAAUCUAACAUAUUACAAUCAUGUUAAUGUUUUUUAAAUAGUCUAUUUUUGAUCAUACACAUAAAAUAAUAACAAAUAAAAUACAAAUAAUAUUCAUGUGUUAUUUUAUACAUAUAUUAAUUUUAUAAUAAUCAAAUGCAAAUCUAAUAAUACAAAUAUAUAUAUAUAUAUUAUCAUUUAUAACAAAAACUAAAUUACUGUAUGUAAAAUAUUAUUUUUUGCCUUUAAAAUUAAUAUAAACAUUUAAAUAUAUGGAAAGUAUUAAAAAUAUUAACCAUUAAACAUUUUAAAUAAUAUCAAUAUAUAAAGUAAAAACAAACAUCUGCGUAGGUGCGAAGGCCAAGCUCUAGUAGAUAGUUAAAAGGAAACAAAUCUUUCAUAUACUAGUACAUUUUUGAAAAUUAAAUAAAUAAUAAUUAAUAAAGUAAUUCUUUGGUCAAAUAGAAUAAAUCUUUGAAAAUAAAAAAAUAAUAAUCUGUUAUUAUUAAGUAGAUAUAUGGUCAACAAAAAAUGAAAUUCGUGAUAAAAUAGUCAAAUAUAAAUAUGUUAAAAGUUAAAAAAAGUUGUUGAAAAUAAUUUUUAUUUCAUAUCACAUAAAUAAUAGUUUAAUUGGUCAGAGCACCGCCCUGUCAAUAUUCCAUAUUUACUUAUUAUUAUCAUAAUUACAGUCAAUUUUCCAAAAAUAUAAUGAUAAUUCUUAUUAUUAAAUUUAUUAUAAUGGUCAACUCAUCAUCCUAUAAAUCUCUCUUUUAGUGUCUCCCAAAAUUUAGAGUCUUACAAUAUACAAUAAACAAGUAACUAAAUCUAGAAAAAAAUAUGGCCAAAGCAAAAAAUUCAGUUGUUUUCUCCAUCAUCUUCCUUAUAAUGUUUGCUUUAGCCGAAGAUUGUAUGGGAUGUCAGGCGAUGCUUGGUGAUUGCCGUAUAUGCGGAAUAAAAUGCAGUUCUUACGGAAGACAUGCAGAGGCUCACUGUGAUUACCGCUAUGACGGUGGUGCUUGUGUUUGCGACUUUCCUUGUAAUCCUCCACCAAAGCUUUAAAAUAAAAAAAUAUUGGUAAUUAAUAUGAAGAAAUAAUAUGGUGAAUCGCAUAAUCAUAGUUGCUGCAAUAUUUCAUAUAUUAAAUAAAAAUUCCGUGAACCUUUGAUAUCAAUCAAAUUUAUAGAACACAAAA